UGUUCUCGGACCACAGAUGCCCCAAAGUUCUUUUCUCUCUACCUGUCCCCUGAGUAUGCAGCCUCUCUCCCCACUUGUAGUAACCUAUAGAAUGGGAAAAAAUAUUUGCAAACCAUAUAUCAGGUAAAAGUUUAAUAUCCAAAAGAUAUAAAGAACUCACUGAAACAGAGAGUAGAGUGAUGGCUACCAUGGGCUGAGGGUUGGGGAACCUGGAAGAUGUUUUUUAAGGGUGCAUUUUCUGUUCAGGCAACUCAGCAUACAUUUCCCCUACCUCUUGGAAAGAGAAGUUUGAUUUUCAUUCAAGUAUCUACCUUCACCAUAUGCAUUGGGAAAAACUGACCCUACUCCCAGCUCCAUGGACGAACCUUGACUGGCUUAAACCGCAGACCUGUUAGGUGUGCUCAGAGUGGCUGGGGACACUCCUGUCUAUAUCAUCCUGCAGUUGCAGUAAGAGGAGCAGGUGUCUUCCCUGGUGAGUUACUGGAGCUCCAUCCCUGUCAGCCAGAUCUCAGUUGUGGGUUCUUCUGGGAAUUCUGCAGCAUUCAAAGCAAAGGUCUGUGGGCCAAGAUCAGGCAGUGACAAUUCCUAGAAGAGAACAAAAAAACACCCCUAUCUUACACCACUCAUAAAAAUUAACUCAAAAUGGAUUCAAGACUUAAACAUAAGACCUGAUACUGAAAACUCCUAGAAGAAAAUGUAGGGAAGAAGCUCCUCGACAUUGGUCUUGGCAAUGAUAUGACGCCAAAGCACAGCAACAAAAGCAAAAAUCAACAAGUGGGACGCCAUCAAAUUAAAAAGCUUCUGCCCAGCAAAAGAGACAAUCAGCAAAAUGAGAAGGUAACCUAUAGAAUGGGAGAAAAUAUUGAGGAUGUGGAGAAAAGAGAACUCUUGUGCGCUGUUGGUGGGAAUGUAAAUUGGCCCAGUCACUAUGGAAAACAAGUAAGGAGGGUCCUCAAAACAUUAAAAAUAGAACCACCAUAUGAUCCACCAACCCCACUUCUGGGUAUAUAUCUAAAGGAAAUGAGUACAGGAUAUCGAAAAGAUAUCUGCACUCCCAUGUCACUGCAACAUUAUUCACAGUAGCCAAGAU
Molecule: long non-coding RNA, 1090 nt
Filed under: Equus caballus (horse)
Lineage: Eukaryota; Metazoa; Chordata; Mammalia; Perissodactyla; Equidae
Description: lncRNA (ENSECAG00000047459.1)
Source: RNAcentral